RNAcentral lists this ribosomal RNA (478 nucleotides) under uncultured bacterium. Its description in RNAcentral is "partial 16S ribosomal RNA". It matches the Rfam family "Bacterial small subunit ribosomal RNA", at positions 28 to 523 of the family's 1533-position model. The record is from RNAcentral.
GACGAACGCUGGCGGCGUGCUUAACACAUGCAAGUCGAACGGUAAGGCCCUUCGGGGUACACGAGUGGCGAACGGGUGAGUAACACGUGGGUGAUCUACCCUGCACUUCGGGAUAAGCCUGGGAAACUGGGUCUAAUACCGGAUAGGACCACUGCCUGCAUGGGUGGUGGUGGAAAGCUUUUGCGGUGUGGGAUGGGCCCGCGGCCUAUCAGCUUGUUGGUGGGGUGAUGGCCUACCAAGGCGACGACGGGUAGCCGGCCUGAGAGGGUGACCGGCCACACUGGGACUGAGAUACGGCCCAGACUCCUACGGGAGGCAGCAGUGGGGAAUAUUGCACAAUGGGCGCAAGCCUGAUGCAGCGACGCCGCGUGAGGGAUGACGGCCUUCGGUUUGUAAACCUCUUUCAGCACCGACGAAGCGCAAGUGACGGUAGGUGCAGAAGAAGGACCGGCUAACUACGUGCCAGCCGCCGCAGUAA